UACGAAGGGGGCUAGCGUUGUUCGGAAUUACUGGGCGUAAAGCGCACGUAGGCGGAUAUUUAAGUCAGGGGUGAAAUCCCAGAGCUCAACUCUGGAACUGCCUUUGAUACUGGGUAUCUUGAGUAUGGAAGAGGUAAGUGGAAUUGCGAGUGUAGAGGUGAAAAUUCGUAGAUAUUCGCAAGGAACACCAGUGGCGAAGGCGGCU
RNAcentral lists this ribosomal RNA (205 nucleotides) under uncultured bacterium. RNAcentral describes it as "partial 16S ribosomal RNA". It matches the Rfam family "Bacterial small subunit ribosomal RNA", at positions 524 to 726 of the family's 1533-position model. The record is from RNAcentral.